CUCUCCUACAAAGGUGUGUCUGUGGUUUCCUGUCUUUGAACAUGUAAACACUGGAGGCAAAGAAAUAUGGACUUCAAGAAGUCUGGAGCCAGCUUGCUCCCUGACCACCUCACAUAG
Molecule: small nucleolar RNA, 117 nt
Organism: Nycticebus coucang (slow loris)
Lineage: Eukaryota; Metazoa; Chordata; Mammalia; Primates; Lorisidae
Product: small nucleolar RNA SNORA38
Exons: 1
Source: RefSeq, a predicted model, not a curated record